GACGAACCGAGCGAACGUUGUUCGGAAUCACUGGGCUUAAAGGGCGCGUAGGCGGUCGGCCAAGUCAGGGGUGAAAUCCUGCAGCUUAACUGUAGAAGUGCCUUUGAUACUGGUCGUCUCGAGGGAGGUAGGGGUGUGUGGAACUCACAGUGGAGCGGUGAAAUGCGUUGAUAUUGUGAGGAACGCCGGAGGCGGAAGCGACGCACUGGACCUCUUCUAACGCUGAGGCGCGAAAGCCAGGGGAGCAAACGGG
Molecule: ribosomal RNA, 253 nt
Filed under: uncultured bacterium
Lineage: Bacteria
Description: partial 16S ribosomal RNA
Rfam family: Bacterial small subunit ribosomal RNA
Source: RNAcentral